This 404-nucleotide ribosomal RNA is filed under the name uncultured bacterium. Its description in RNAcentral is "bacterial SSU rRNA". It matches the Rfam family "Bacterial small subunit ribosomal RNA", at positions 355 to 776 of the family's 1533-position model. The record is from RNAcentral.
UGGGGAAUAUUGGACAAUGGGCGCAAGCCUGAUCCAGCCAUGCCGCGUGAGUGAUGAAGGCCCUAGGGUUGUAAAGCUCUUUCACCGGUGAAGAUAAUGACGGUAACCGGAGAAGAAGCCCCGGCUAACUUCGUGCCAGCAGCCGCGGUAAUACGAAGGGGGCUAGCGUUGUUCGGAUUUACUGGGCGUAAAGCGCACGUAGGCGGGCUAAUAAGUCAGGGGUGAAAUCCCGGGGCUCAACCCCGGAACUGCCUUUGAUACUGUUAGUCUUGAGUAUGGAAGAGGUGAGUGGAAUUCCGAGUGUAGAGGUGAAAUUCGUAGAUAUUCGGAGGAACACCAGUGGCGAAGGCGGCUCACUGGUCCAUUACUGACGCUGAGGUGCGAAAGCGUGGGGAGCAAACAGG